This 274-nucleotide ribosomal RNA is filed under the name uncultured bacterium. RNAcentral's name for it is "partial 16S ribosomal RNA". It matches the Rfam family "Bacterial small subunit ribosomal RNA", at positions 523 to 796 of the family's 1533-position model. The record is from RNAcentral.
AUACAGAGGGUGCGAGCGUUAAUCGGAAUUACUGGGCGUAAAGCGCGCGUAGGCGGCUACUUAAGUCAGAUGUGAAAUCCCCGGGCUCAACCUGGGAACUGCAUCUGAUACUGGGUAGCUAGAGUUUUGGAGAGGGAAGUAGAAUUUCAGGUGUAGCGGUGAAAUGCAUAGAGAUCUGAAGGAAUACCAGUGGCGAAGGCGACUUCCUGGCCAAAAACUGACGCUGAGGUGCGAAAGCGUGGGUAGCGAACGGGAUUAGAAACCCUAGUAGUCC